GACGAACGCUGGCGGCGUGCCUAAUACAUGCAAGUCGAACGCUGAAGGAGGAGCUUGCUUCUCUGGAUGAGUUGCGAACGGGUGAGUAACGCGUAGGUAACCUGCCUGGUAGCGGGGGAUAACUAUUUGAAACGAUAGCUAAUACCGCAUAAUAGUAGAUGUCGCAUGACAUUUGCUUAAAAGGUUCAAUUGCAUCACUACCAGAUGGACCUGCGUUGUAUUAGCUAGUUGUUGAGGUAAGGGCGCACCAAGGCAUCGAUACGUAGCCGACCUGAGAGGGUGAGCGGCCGCACUGGGAGUGGGACACGGCCCAGAAUCCUAGGGGAGGCAGAAGUAGGGAAUCUUGGGGAAUGGAAGGAAGUCUGACCGAGCAACGCCGCGUGAGAGAAGAAGGUAUUCGGAUCGUAAAGCUCUGUAGUAAGAGAAGAACGAGUGUGAGAGUGGAAAGUUAAGAGUGUGACGGUAACUUACCAGAAAGGGACGGCUAACUACGUG
Molecule: ribosomal RNA, 495 nt
Filed under: uncultured bacterium
Lineage: Bacteria
Description: partial 16S ribosomal RNA
Rfam family: Bacterial small subunit ribosomal RNA
Source: RNAcentral